Molecule: ribosomal RNA, 513 nt
Filed under: uncultured bacterium
Lineage: Bacteria
Description: partial 16S ribosomal RNA
Rfam family: Bacterial small subunit ribosomal RNA
Source: RNAcentral
AUUGAACGCUGGCGGCAGGCCUAACACAUGCAAGUCGAGCGAACAGAUGAAGUGCUUGCACUUCUGACGUUAGCGGCGAACGGGUGAGUAACACGUAAGGAAUCUACCUAUAAGCGGGGGAUAACAUUCGGAAACGGGUGCUAAUACCGCAUAAUAUCUUCUUCCGCAUGGAAGAAGAUUGAAAGACGGCUCUGCUGUCACUUAUAGAUGACCUUGCGGUGCAUUAGUUAGUUGGUGGGGUAACGGCCUACCAAGACGAUGAUGCAUAGCCGACCUGAGAGGGUGAGCGGCCACAUUGGGACUGAGACACGGCCCAAACUCCUACGGGAGGCAGCAGUAGGGAAUCUUCCGCAAUGGGCGAAAGCCUGACGGAGCAAUGCCGCGUGAGUGAAGAAGGCCUUCGGGUCGUAAAACUCUGUUAUAAGAGAAGAACAAAUUGUAGAGUAACUGCUACAGUCUUGACGGUAUCUUAUCAGAAAGCCACGGCUAACUACGUGCCAGCCGCCGCCGUAA